This 812-nucleotide ribosomal RNA is filed under the name uncultured crenarchaeote. RNAcentral's name for it is "bacterial SSU rRNA". It matches the Rfam family "Archaeal small subunit ribosomal RNA", at positions 104 to 900 of the family's 1478-position model. The record is from RNAcentral. Lineage: Archaea; Thermoproteati; Thermoproteota.
CUAACCUGCCCUUAGGACGAGAAUAACCCCGGGAAACUGGGGCUAAUGCUCGAUAGGUGAAGAACUCUGGAAUGAGUCUUCACUCAAAAGAGUCUGCGUUAUGCUCGUAGAUUUCGCUUAAGGAUGGGGCCGCGACCGAUCAGGUUGUUGGUGAGGUAAUGGCUCACCAAGCCUUUUACCGGUGCGGGCCGUGAGAGCGGGAGCCCGGAGAUGGGCACUGAGACAAGGGCCCAGGCCCUACGGGGCGCAGCAGUCGCGAAAACUUUGCAAUACACGAAAGUGUGACAGGGCUAUCCCGAGUGCCAUCCGCUGAGGAAGGCUUUUACCCAGUCUAGAAAGCUGGGGGAAUAAGGAGAGGGCAAGUCUGGUGUCAGCCGCCGCGGUAAUACCAGCUCUCCGAGUGGUGUGGAUGUUUAUUGGGCCUAAAGCAUCCGUAGCUGGCUAAGUUAGUCCCCUGUUAAAUCCAACGAAUUAAUCGUUGGAUCGCGGGGGAUACUGCUUGGCUAGGGGACGAGAGAGGCAGACGGUAUUUCCGGGGUAGGGGUGAAAUCCUAUAAUCCCGGGAAGACCACCAGUGGCGAAGGCUGUCUGCUAGAACGCGCCCGACGGUGAGGGAUGAAAGCUGGGGGAGCGAACCGGAUUAGAUACCCGGGUAGUCCCAGCUGUAAACGAUGCAGGCUAGGUGUUUGGACGGCCACGUGCCGUUCUAGUGCCGCAGGGAAGCUGUUAAGCCUGCCGCCUGGGGAGUACGAUCGCAAGAUUGAAACUUAAAGGAAUUGGCGGGGGAGCACCACAAGGGGUGAAGCUUGCGG